Non-coding RNA from Caenorhabditis elegans, 133 nucleotides. The record is from Ensembl. Lineage: Eukaryota; Metazoa; Nematoda; Chromadorea; Rhabditida; Rhabditidae.
CUCCCCCUUCUUUCACAAUUUCCGCUCCGCGCGGACAAACUGCACAAUUUCCCGUGAAAAUUGGAAUAGAGUUCUAGAUGCUUAAUGAGCUCGUCUUUGAAUUUUGAAGAUAGAGAGAGAUACCCUUGCGACC